AGCACGUAACCGCUCGGAGACUGUCUGGAGUGUGUCUGAAAUUGAUAAAAUUCGGAGAUGGAGUUUUACUGCUCCUUGACUGUACUCAAGAAGGCGCCGGUCGGAAACGGGAAUUCCUUCACAUCUCCAUCAUUCAAAAGUCCCUGCGCUCAGCCUGAUGAAGAGUAAUUCACGUUGAAUGACGUGAAAGUUUUCUCCCUCCUGCAGUGUCACACUCGGCUCUUUAUGCACAGAAGGUCCAGCGUUCUCUCUGGCUUCAGGAAUCACACCCACCGAAUGUGUGGAGUGACUGUGGAUGAACAGGAGGAAGAUGUCAUGCUCCAGAAGAGUUUUUGGAGAUGAUGUUGCUUCUCUCGCUGCAGCAUGGAGCGCCCACUUUGUGCCGUCGUCAGCUAUGAUGCGUAACCACAAGCUGAGUGACAGGUCCGUCCCUUUGGAGCUCAAGGGGUUUUAGCUCGGGCUCAUUUCGGCGGCAUGGAUGAAGACUGACCGUCAUGAAGACAGUCCUGGGAGCAGCAGUGUCGGCUUGAACGUACAAAGACUAAUGGCGCAAGUAUGAAAAUGCAGAUAAGGGGUUGUUGUCAAAACAAGCCUGGGGAUUGUUCAAGGCCUCGCUGGUGCAUAAUGUUUUAAUCUCAAUGAUUGCAACGCUCCACCAGUAAAAUAAUACACCGCCUUGCAAAACAUGGGACCAACAGUGAGGAUGAACUGGUGACACGUUAAAUGGCUCGUAUGUAGUCGGACGACCCCCUUAUAAACACAAAACAUUCAGUUGUAAACUACUCUUAAACAUCACUACUAGUCUACUGUCGACAUCAAACGUAGAUCCACAGUUUUAGUAUAAAAUCUAGAAGAAAAUCUGUUUAAUUGCAUCGCGAUAGCAUUGCAUGUUUUUGUGCAUAAUGUGUGAGAUAAUGUAUGUUGGUAGGUUAAUUUCUGUCAGUGUUAGAUUGUACUCGUAGUCUUUUGUGCUGUUUGUGCUCUGUCUUACCUGGGUAACAAACAGAGGUUACAUGGGAUGUUAUGAUUCCCCUUGCACUUAUUGUUUUGAUUAGAACUGUUUAUUUAUUGCGCAAUGACUCUUCGUUUGCCUUUAAAAAAAAGCCUUUUCGAGAAUCAGUUUAGGAUUAUGAUUUUACUAUAGAAACUACAGACAGACAAUUUGAUAAAAGGGUGUGUCAUAUUGUCAUAUGUUUGCUCUGUAUCUUGUACUUGAACUUUGUGUUUUCUUAAAGGAGACGUUCAUUGGCAAGAGUUGUUUUUAAGUUGUUGUAAGUAGUUGUUUGGGACGCAUGACGUACUGUAUCACAAAAAAAAAGAUUAGAAUCCCAUACACUUCUCUUAUAAUGUCAGAGGCAAUACAAAGUGGGACAGCUGAUUGACAAACAUGACCCGCACUAACUGCGCAGCGCGAGUUGUGAAUGUGUCUUUAGCCUAGAAUAGCAUACUUUAGAAGUGCUAAUUCUGUAUUAAUAUUUAUAUCUCACAUUUUAAAUCGCUAUGAAUUAAUUGUAAUUCUCAUUUGCGCUGUAUACAUACAUAUAUUUAAGUCCUUAUUAUUAUGUUUAAAGGAUGUGUUCAUCAUGCUAUCUAAAGUAAAACCUCUGGCUUCUGUGCUAUAAAACAUUUUCGAGUGUUUUAUUUCUUCCCCACGAUGAAUCAUUUUUGAUCACAGCAUUUGUUUCAUGUGACGUUUUUUUUUUUUAAACCAUGCAAAUCCUAUUGAAAUGAUCGAAAAUCAGGAGAAUGAACCAAGUUGGCAAGAUAAACGUCCUGAUAAAUAGGUGAAUUUGAUCAUGAAACUUUUUUUUCAGGAGCCUUCUGUUUGGUUGUUUUUCUCUCCUCUAGCAAGUUCUCAUGUUACGCUAGAAGUUAUUUGUGCGUCUCUGUAUCUGCAGCUCCUUCACUCAAGGGUUGAUUUUGCAAUUGUGCUUGUGUUUUCUGUUAAAUCAAGACUUUUUUGCCCUUCAACGUUCUCAUUAGUCUGUCUCCUCAAUUAUUUCCCUCCUGCAGCCAUGUGAAACCAAAAGUUUAUUUUUCUGUUAUUUUUUUUUCCAUAGAUAACCCAGAAAUCACUGAAGACGCCUCCAAUAGAAGGUAACAUCAGAAAAACUUGAAGAUUAUUUUACACUUAAGUAACCAGCAUUCACAUUUAGACUAGCAUUAAUUCAUACCUUUAAAGUAAAUUCUUUUUCUAAAAUCUUUUGUAAAUGAAACAUGAAGCGAGAUAAACAUCAAGUGGUUUUCUGUUCUUGACUCACUGUCCGUGUUAAGGGGUGUUUGUGAAGCCAUUUUAUCUUUUGUAUGUGGUUGAGUUUGCACUUGUUAAUGAAUAAACCACUCUGGAGCAUUGCUGUUAAACUUCCUGCAAAUCAACAUGUCAGAGGCUUGUGUUGUAUAAUCUUUCAGGUUUAUUUACUCUUCUUUUGUAACUUUAAAGAGGCAGUUAAUUACACAAUUAAUACAUGAUUGAAACUAUGUACAUUUAUACCAAAGAAUACUUCCAACAUAAAAUAAAAAAUAGCAUUGUACUCUACAA
This is a long non-coding RNA of Synchiropus splendidus (mandarinfish), 2539 nucleotides long. RefSeq lists it as uncharacterized. The record is from RefSeq and is a predicted model, not a curated record. Lineage: Eukaryota; Metazoa; Chordata; Actinopteri; Syngnathiformes; Callionymidae. The transcript is spliced from 4 exons.